This 443-nucleotide ribosomal RNA is filed under the name uncultured bacterium. RNAcentral's name for it is "partial 16S ribosomal RNA". It matches the Rfam family "Bacterial small subunit ribosomal RNA", at positions 338 to 795 of the family's 1533-position model. The record is from RNAcentral.
ACUACGGGUGGCAGCAGUGGGGGAUAUUGGACAAUGGGGGGAACCCUGAUCCAGCGACGCCGCAUGAGUGAAGAAGUAUUUCGGUAUGUAAAGCUCUGUCAGCAGGGAAGAAAGAAAUGACGGUACCUGACCAAGAAGCCCCGGCUAACUACGUGCCAGCAGCCGCGGUAAUACGUAGGGGGCAAGCGUUAUCCGGAAUUACUGGGUGUAAAGGGAGCGUAGACGGUUAAGUAAGUCUGGAGUGAAAGGCCGGGGCCCAACCCCGGGACUGCUCUGGAAACUAUUGAACUUGAGUGCAGGAGAGGUAAGCGGAAUUCCUAGUGUAGCGGUGAAAUGCGUAGAUAUUAGGAGGAACACCAGUGGCGAAGGCGGCUUACUGGACUGUAACUGACGUUGAGGCUCGAAAGCGUGGGGAGCAAACAGGAUUAGAUACCCUGGUAGUC